This is a long non-coding RNA of Pyrus x bretschneideri (Chinese white pear), 798 nucleotides long. RefSeq lists it as uncharacterized. The record is from RefSeq and is a predicted model, not a curated record. NCBI's taxonomy places the organism in Eukaryota, Viridiplantae, Streptophyta, Magnoliopsida, Rosales, Rosaceae. The transcript has 4 exons.
UCAUGGAAUCCCUCUCCCUUCUCUCCCGGACUUCUCCUUCUCUCUCUCGAGCUCUCUCUCUCUUCUCCUCCUUCACUGUGCCACACCCAUAACCCAUAUCCUAAAAUCAUCAUCAAAACACAUUUUCGACAUCACCAUCUUCUUUAUCUCAUCAUUACGAACACAACCAUAAUCUUGGCAUCUUAGAAGUCGAACCAUGAAGCCUCGUACACGAACUCCGACGCAGGCCGCCAAUUUUCGAGCGAUCCACAACGAGUUAAGAAAGUUUCUGGCGACGUCCGAGGCUUUCGAGCCAUUUUUCGACCAAAUUACGGCGAUUUAGCCGUCAAGGAGGGUACCAAUCUGUUCGUCUCGUUUUGAGUUUUUCCGGCCAAAAAACCCAGUUUUCCGGCGAACCCGUAGGCCAUUUUUCGGCCAACUCCGGCCAGGGUUGAGGAAACUAAAGAUAAUCCCCUUGUCCCCAGCAUUGCCCGUUUCUACUUGGAAGAUAAAGCUAAAUAUGAUGAGCUUGCUUCUGAGUGGACGCUGCGAUUUGCUAAGUGAUUUUACCUGGGAUCUUCUUAUAUCGUUGCAAAUAGUCAGGAAGGACGUUAUGUUAUGAACUGAACACUGUGAGCUAGCGUGUUAUGUACGCAACGGGUUUGAUACCAAGCAUGAAUGUACCAGCUGAAUUUUUUGUGGACCGAUCGUUGAAUAACCGAAAACCAUGCUCAAAGGAAAAUGCUUGUAAUAUAUCCUCCGUAUGAGAUCAAUAUCAUAUGUAAUAUAUCCCUAUUGCUUGAUUUGAUGCUCUACUAA